CCUACGGGAGGCAGCAGUGGGGAAUAUUGGGCAAUGCAGGAAACUCUGACGCAGCAACGCCGCGUGAAGGAUGAAGGUUUUCGGAUUGUAAACUUCUGUCGCGAGGGACGAAGAAUGACGGUACCUAGUAAGAAAGCCCCGGCAAACUACGUGUCAGCAGCCGCGGAAAUACGUAGGGGGAGAGCGUCGGCCGGAAGGACUGGGCGUAAAGGGAGUGUAGGUGGAGCUUUAAGGUAUAUGUGAAAUCCCGCGGCUCAACCGUGGCAGUGCAUAUAAAACUGGGGAGCUGGAGUGCAGGAUAGGUGAGUGGAAUUCCGAGGGGAGCGGUGGAAUGCGUAGAUAUUAGGAAGAACACCGGGGGCGAAGGCGGCUAACUGGACUGUAACUGACGCUGAGGCGCGAAAGCGUGGGGAGCAAACAGGAUUAGAUACCCUAGUAGUC
RNAcentral lists this ribosomal RNA (441 nucleotides) under uncultured bacterium. RNAcentral's name for it is "partial 16S ribosomal RNA". It matches the Rfam family "Bacterial small subunit ribosomal RNA", at positions 338 to 795 of the family's 1533-position model. The record is from RNAcentral.